AGCGAACGCUGGCGGCAGGCUUAACACAUGCAAGUCGAGCGGCCACCCAGUAGGUGUCAGCGGCAGACGGGUGCGUAACGCGUGGGAACGUGCACUACGUCUCGGAAUAACUCAGGGUAACUGAUGCUAAUACCGGACACGCGCUAGAGCAGCAUGGGUCAUCUGCGCAAGGAUGGGCGCGCGUCUGAUUAGCUAGUUGGGGAGGUUACGGUGCACGAAUGCCACGAUCAGCAGAUGGGCAGAGAGGAAGGUUAGAGACACUGGGACGUGGACACGGCCCAGAAUACUACGGGAAGCAGGAGAGGGGAAUAUUGCAAAAUGGCGUCAAUCCUGAUCGAGCCAUGCCGGGUGAGUGAUGUUGGCCUUAGGGUUGUAAAGCUCUUUUAUCCGGGACGAUAAUGACGGUACCGGAGGAAUAAGCCCCGGCUAACUUCGUG
RNAcentral lists this ribosomal RNA (437 nucleotides) under uncultured bacterium. RNAcentral's name for it is "partial 16S ribosomal RNA". It matches the Rfam family "Bacterial small subunit ribosomal RNA", at positions 29 to 507 of the family's 1533-position model. The record is from RNAcentral.